GAUAAACGCUGGCGGUGUACAUAAGACAUGCAAGUCGAACGGGAGAAGACAGGAAGAUUUAUCUACUUGUUGGACACCGUGGCGGACGGGUGAGUAACACGUAAGCAACCUGCCUAUAAGAGGGGAAUAACAGUGAGAAAUUACUGAUAAUACCGCAUAAGCUGGAGGUAUCGCAUGAUACAUUCAGAAAAGAUUUAUCGCUUAUAGAUGGGCUUGCGUCUGAUUAGCUAGUUGGUGAGAUAACAGCUCACCAAGGCGACGAUCAGUAGCCGGAUUGAGAGGUUGAACGGCCACAUUGGGACUGAGACACGGCCCAGACUCCUACGGGAGGCAGCAGUCGGGAAUAUUGCACAAUGGAGGAAACUCUGAUGCAGUGACACCGCGUAUAGGAAGAAGGUCUUAGGAUUGUAAGCUAUUGUCGUGUGAGAAGAAAAUGACCAUCACAGGAGGAAG
This 453-nucleotide ribosomal RNA is filed under the name Clostridiales bacterium oral taxon 075. RNAcentral describes it as "bacterial SSU rRNA". It matches the Rfam family "Bacterial small subunit ribosomal RNA", at positions 28 to 490 of the family's 1533-position model. Lineage: Bacteria; Bacillati; Bacillota; Clostridia; Eubacteriales. The record is from RNAcentral.